GGAAAGGGGAGCACAUCACAGCACAAACAGUGAGCAGGCUGUCGAUGCGCCUCGCAAAAGUUUAGUGUUACCUGAUUAAAGUUUUCCAUUCAAAUGACACUAUUAAAUAAAUGUGCUGCCACUAAACGCUUACACGAUCAGUAUGCUCACCUCCGCUCUCAAUAAGGACGUCUAGAAGUUCAUCCAUCUGCUGGCUUCUGGUCAUCUGCUGGAAAAGCAUUAAAUUAACUGGAAUCGACAGGAAUGAUAUUCUUCUCAACAAGCUCCAGUGGGCCCGGUCUCAGAGCGAUUUUCUCGUUCAGGUUGUCUGCAAGCCUGGCUCGCUUGAGUUUCGUCUGCGAGUCUUGAGCAGGACCCUCGCUGGCCGUGUCUGCAUGGCAAACAGAAUGCUGGUGUUGUUGGUGUAAUUGUGGUGCAGUUGGCUCUCACAGGACCCAGAGCACCUCUUCAGCACAAGAGCAUUCCAGUGAGGUCAGCUUCACAGUGC
Triplophysa rosa is the source of this 487-nucleotide long non-coding RNA. RefSeq lists it as uncharacterized. NCBI's taxonomy places the organism in Eukaryota, Metazoa, Chordata, Actinopteri, Cypriniformes, Nemacheilidae. The transcript has 3 exons. The record is from RefSeq and is a predicted model, not a curated record.